AGAGUUUGAUCCUGGCUCAGAUUGAACGCUAGCGGGAUGCUUUACACAUGCAAGUCGAACGGCAGCACGAGAGAGCUUGCUCUCUUGGUGGCGAGUGGCGGACGGGUGAGUAAUAUAUCGGAACGUGCCCAGUAGCGGGGGAUAACUACUCGAAAGAGUGGCUAAUACCGCAUACGCCCUACGGGGGAAAGGGGGGGAUCGCAAGACCUCUCACUAUUGGAGCGGCCGAUAUCGGAUUAGCUAGUUGGUGGGGUAAAGGCUCACCAAGGCAACGAUCCGUAGCUGGUUUGAGAGGACGACCAGCCACACUGGGACUGAGACACGGCCCAGACUCCUACGGGAGGCAGCAGUGGGGAAUUUUGGACAAUGGGGGAAACCCUGAUCCAGCCAUCCCGCGUGUAUGAUGAAGGCCUUCGGGUUGUAAAGUACUUUUGGCAGAGAAGAAAAGGCAUCCCCUAAUACGGGAUGCUGCUGACGGUAUCUGCAGAAUAAGCACCGGCUAACUACGUGCCAGCAGCCGCGGUAAUACGUAGGGUGCAAGCGUUAAUCGGAAUUACUGGGCGUAAAGCGUGUGUAGGCGGUUCGGAAAGAAAGAUGUGAAAUCCCAGGGCUCAACCUUGGAACUGCAUUUUUAACUGCCGAGCUAGAGUAUGUCAGAGGGGGGUAGAAUUCCACGUGUAGCAGUGAAAUGCGUAGAUAUGUGGAGGAAUACCGAUGGCGAAGGCAGCCCCCUGGGAUAAUACUGACGCUCAGACACGAAAGCGUGGGGAGCAAACAGGAUUAGAUACCCUGGUAGUCCACGCCCUAAACGAUGUCAACUAGCUGUUGGGGCCGUUAGGCCUUAGUAGCGCAGCUAACGCGUGAAGUUGACCGCCUGGGGAGUACGGUCGCAAGAUUAAAACUCAAAGGAAUUGACGGGGACCCGCACAAGCGGUGGAUGAUGUGGAUUAAUUCGGUGCAACGCGAAAAACCUUACCUACCCUUGACAUGUAUGGAAUGCCGAAGAGAUUUGGCAGUGCUCGCAAGAGAACCGGAACACAGGUGCUGCACUGGCUGUCGUCAGCUCGCGUCGUGAGAUGUUGGGUUAAGUCCCGCAACGAGCGCAACCCUUGUCAUUAGUUGCUACGCAAGAGCACUCUAAUGAGACUGCCGGUGACAAACCGGAGGAAGGUGGGGAUGACGUCAAGUCCUCAUGGCCCUUAUGGGUAGGGCUUCACACGUCAUACAAUGGUCGGGACAGAGGGUCGCCAACCCGCGAGGGGGAGCCAAUCUCAGAAACCCGAUCGUAGUCCGGAUCGCAGUCUGCAACUCGACUGCGUGAAGUCGGAAUCGCUAGUAAUCGCGGAUCAGAAUGUCGCGGUGAAUACGUUCCCGGGUCGAGCACUCACCGCCCGUCA
RNAcentral lists this ribosomal RNA (1397 nucleotides) under uncultured bacterium. RNAcentral's name for it is "16S ribosomal RNA". It matches the Rfam family "Bacterial small subunit ribosomal RNA". The record is from RNAcentral.